RNAcentral lists this ribosomal RNA (629 nucleotides) under Melampsora ferrinii. Its description in RNAcentral is "partial large subunit ribosomal RNA". It matches the Rfam family "Eukaryotic large subunit ribosomal RNA", at positions 34 to 646 of the family's 3401-position model. The record is from RNAcentral. Lineage: Eukaryota; Fungi; Basidiomycota; Pucciniomycetes; Pucciniales; Melampsoraceae.
UUAAGCAUAUCAAUAAGCGGAGGAAAAGAAAAUAACUAUGAUUCCCUUAGUAACGGCGAGUGAACAGGGAGAAGCCCAAAUUUGUAAUCUGGCACUUUUUACAGGUGUCCGAGUUGUAAUUUGUAGAACUGCUAUCCGUACUGGACCAUGUACAAGUCUGUUGAAAAGCAGCAUCAUUGAAGGUGAAAAUCCUGUAGAUGAUAUGGACUACCAGUAUAUUUGUGAUGCGGUUUCUAAGAGUCGAGUUGUUUGGGAAUGCAGCUCAAAGUGGGUGGUAAAUUCCAUCUAAGGCUAAAUAUGAGUGAGAGACCGAUAGCAUACAAGUACCGUGAGGGAAAGAUGAAAAGAACUUUGAAAAUAGAGUUAACAGUACGUGAAAUUGCUGAAAGGGAAACGUUUGAAGUUAGUUUUGUAUUCGUUGGAUCAGCUUCGCAAGGAGUGUAUUCCGAUGAUAGGCAAGUCAACAUCAAUCUAUGAGUGUUGGAUAAGGGUUUUGAGAACGUAGCAAUUCAGUUGUGUUAUAGCUCGAGACUUGGAUACGAUGCUUUGGAUUGAGGAACGCGUAGUAAGCUUUGAGCGGAUUCGAAAGGAUCUCCUUACUAUGGAUGUUGGUGAAAUAACUUUAAGCG